GCUCCAGAAGGAACAUCCCACUUGCGUCUGCUGACACAAAAGAAUGCUGUGGCUGGGAGAUCUUAUCAAGCUUUCCUGUGCCCCAGUAACAGAGCUCCAGUUGUGUCUUGUUUGUUACAGUAAUCAGUACAUAUAAGAGAUAUAUAACUGGUAGUAAGACGUGCCAAGGAAAAGGGUGACUGCAAGCUUCCUACAAGGUCAACGCUUGAGAUGGACAUUGAUGAUUUUUCCCUUCUGUAUCUUCAUGGAGUACUUUCUGAAAGGGCCUUUGCCAUAAAUGUAUUUGUAUUCAGUUACUUCAACAAAAAAAACCCAAUUAUUCUCCUCCUAUUCUACCCAAGAUUCGGAGGAUCAAAGUAUUACCAAGACAACACCUUUGUUUGUAAGAUAUUGGUUAUUAAAAUUAUUAAAUGUUGUAAUUAAUUACGUAUACAUUUGUUUACUCUCAGCGAACUGUGAGCAUCUUGAGGACAGGAGCUAGAUCAUAUUCAUCUUCUUGUCUCCAUUGCCCAGCACAAUGUCUUGUACAUGUUAGUGUUCACUAGAUAUUUGUUGGAUGGAUAGAUGAUGGAUGGAUAGAUUGACAGGUGAUAGGUGGCUGGCUGACCAUGCUAUAGUGCCUACAGUUACAAAUGACUCGUCUACAUGGUUCGUGCCAUGACAAUACCUGUUAAUCCUCCAGGACUUUAUUAUCUCACUGUUAGAUGCAUAAAAUAAAGAGAUUUUUCAAGAUCACAUAGCCCAGCUCCUUCAGUUUACAGCUGAGGAAAUGAGACUUAGAGAGAGAAUCUCAUUUAUUCACAGUCCCACGCUAAUAAGUAAGAAGCAGAUCUGGGGUAAAAUUCAGAUCUCUUGCUUUUCAGUCAAAUGCCUGCUACAUUAUGUUGCUCUCCAUGACUCAUAUUUGGAGGCUUCAUGGGACCCCGUGGAGCAAUCUGUCACUCUUGGCUUAUCUGUGAGAGAAAGUGGAACUAGAGAAAAACCAGGUGAAAGGAGCCUACGGGCUGCCGAAUUCAUAUGUUGAUGGUACUGAAGGAAGGUAAGAACAGAAUGACUCAUCUUUAUUCAGGCUGAUGUCAUUCCGCGUUGCUCUCAGAAGACGCCACACUCAAAAUUCAGCGGGUGUUCUAUUCCCUCCCUAGUCUCCUCGAUAACCUUUGGAUCUGGUGCAGUCCAGCCCUACUCCGCUGGCCAAAAUUUCCGUUUGACACAGAGUCAAGCCUUUCAAAGCCCUUUCCAGAGAAGCUCAUGCUAGCCACCUGACGGUGAGGCUGGACUGCUGACUCUUUCUCUAGAUAAUUCCACUGUAAGGACAGGCUCCCAGCAUAUCAUCUCUGAUUGCCUGGAUUUCUGUUUCUCUGAAUUAUGCCCAGUCACACUGCAUCUAAAUACUUGUGGUUGACCUGUACUUAAAAUCCUUUCAUUAAGAACCUGACCUUUGAAGCUAUUUUAGAAUGAACACAUAACAACACAGAUGAAUCUUGAAAUAAUUAUGCUGCGCAAAAGAAACCAGACCAAAAAAAAAAAAAAAAAAAACAGUACAUACUGCCUGACUCCAUUUAUAUAAAAAUCUAGAAAAUGCAAACUAAUCUUGAUUGAGAGAAAGCACAUCAGUGGUUACCUGGGGACGUGGGCAAGGAGAGGUAGAGAGGGGAGGUUGGAAAGAGAAAGGAGUGAAUUUUGACAGUGAUGAAUAUUUUACUCACUUGAGUAUAGUGAUGGUUUCCUAUGUAUAUGUAUAUGUUACAACUUAUCAAGAUAUGCAACUUAAAUAUGUGCAGUUUAUUUUAUGUCAAUUAUAUCUGAAUAAAACUGUUUUUUUUAAGAAUGCAA
Long non-coding RNA from Herpailurus yagouaroundi (jaguarundi), 1833 nucleotides. RefSeq lists it as uncharacterized. The transcript is spliced from 2 exons. The record is from RefSeq and is a predicted model, not a curated record. NCBI's taxonomy places the organism in Eukaryota, Metazoa, Chordata, Mammalia, Carnivora, Felidae.